Molecule: long non-coding RNA, 257 nt
Organism: Helianthus annuus (common sunflower)
Lineage: Eukaryota; Viridiplantae; Streptophyta; Magnoliopsida; Asterales; Asteraceae
Exons: 2
Source: RefSeq, a predicted model, not a curated record
GUUCUAAAAUAAAACACUAAGGGUUUUAAAGGAAGCUUUGAAGCUCCAACCUCCAACUCUUCACGGAAUCACCAAAGGAAACUUUGCAAAACUGUUUUGAGACGAUGUUGAUGAUGCAUGGAACAUAGUAGGAUGCUUAUAUACACAUUUAAAAUUUUGUAUUCUUAUUGUAUUGUCAUUCUUGUAUUUCAAGUUGUUGUAUUUGAUUCCAACCUUUGUAAUUGACUUUUAGAAAUGAAAUGAAAUCCAUUAUUUAA